This 249-nucleotide ribosomal RNA is filed under the name uncultured Lachnospiraceae bacterium. RNAcentral describes it as "partial 16S ribosomal RNA". It matches the Rfam family "Bacterial small subunit ribosomal RNA", at positions 90 to 339 of the family's 1533-position model. The record is from RNAcentral. Lineage: Bacteria; Bacillati; Bacillota; Clostridia; Lachnospirales; Lachnospiraceae.
AUUGAGUGGCGGACGGGUGAGUAACGCGUGGGUAACCUGCCUCAUACAGGGGGAUAACAGUUAGAAAUGACUGCUAAUACCGCAUAAGACCACAGGGUCGCAUGACCUGGUGGGAAAAACUCCGGUGGUAUGAGAUGGACCCGCGUCUGAUUAGGUAGUUGGUGGGGUAACGGCCUACCAAGCCAACGAUCAGUAGCCGACCUGAGAGGGUGACGGGCCACAUUGGGACUGAGACACGGCCCAAACUCC